Molecule: ribosomal RNA, 439 nt
Filed under: uncultured bacterium
Lineage: Bacteria
Description: partial 16S ribosomal RNA
Rfam family: Bacterial small subunit ribosomal RNA
Source: RNAcentral
CUACGGGCGGCUGCAGUGGGGAAUAUUGCACAAUGGAGGAAACUCUGAUGCAGCAACGCCGCGUGGAGGAUGACACUUUUCGGAGCGUAAACUCCUUUUAUAUAGGAAGAAGAUGACGGUACUAUAUGAAUAAGCGCCGGCUAACUCCGUGCCAGCAGCCGCGGUAAUACGGAGGGCGCAAGCGUUAAUCGGAAUCACUGGGCGUAAAGAGCGUGUAGGCGGAUUGAAAAGUCAGAAGUGAAAUCCUAUAGCUUAACUAUAGAACUGCUUCUGAAACUCUUAAUCUAGAAUGUGGGAGAGGUAGAUGGAAUUUCUGGUGUAGGGGUAAAAUCCGUAGAGAUCAGAAGGAAUACCGAUUGCGAAGGCGAUCUACUAGAACAUUAUUGACGCUGAGACGCGAAAGCGUGGGGAGCAAACAGGAUUAGAUACCCUCGUAGUC